This 3904-nucleotide long non-coding RNA is filed under the name Vigna radiata. Its description in RNAcentral is "long non-coding RNA (VRAD_LNC007017)". Lineage: Eukaryota; Viridiplantae; Streptophyta; Magnoliopsida; Fabales; Fabaceae. The record is from RNAcentral.
ACUGAGUCAACUCAAAAUGGACUCAGUUUUUCUAGUUGAAGUGCCUCUUCCAUCCUGUCCGGUGUUGUCACCACCGCUAGCCGCUACUGUUACCGCCACCGCGUACCUUCCCUCAUGCUAAUUUGCUGUACUCCCUCUGCUCCACUCUUGAUCCUUGGCUCCCUCCGGCAACUCCCUUGCUAAUUCUUUUCUGGUAUGCCGUUAUAAAAUUUUAACAUAAUAAUAUAAACUCGAGGGACUGAUCGAUUGUUUCCCUAACCCAAAGAAUCAACAUUGUACAAAAGACACCGGUGCUGCAUUUUCCGUUUGCUUUCCUUCUACUGCUGAACUAUUCCCAAUGGAUUCCUUUUAUUAUGAAAUAAAUAAAAACAAAUUACUCAAUUUGUUGACUGCAUUUUGUGCCUCAUAUGCAGUCAACAAAUGGAGUUUAUACCGUUGGUGACUAUGACCAGAGAGGAUUUUGCAUGUCGUGAAGCCUACUACACAUGUGGAUGAAGGUGCUACUCAUUCUCUGAUUGUCUUGUGUCAUAUUUCUUUUUUAUUAAUUUAAAAUUUUAACAUUCUAUCAAUUUUGAAACUUGUUGAAUAGAGACUGACUGGUUUUUCUGUGAUAGAUGAUGACUGGAACUUAGUAAAUCAUUCUUAUUUCUCACUUUCACAUUGCUGAUACAGUGUCUUUUUGUUAUUAUUUAUUUUGGCCAGUACACUGUCUAAUGAUUUGUUAUACAAUCAAUGAUAUAUUAAACUCCUCAUUGAACAAAUCUUGAAGAUUAUGGUUUGCACUAUUGUCUUGAAAGAUUAUGAUUAGUCACUUAAGUGGGUCUGUGCAUUUGAAAUGGCCUCCACCGGUCCUGUUCUUCCUUUCUCUAUUUAUAACGGCAAAACUCUACUCAAAAGAAAAAAAAUACUUGUCUUUGUCUGCUUCAAGGAAACUGUAAUUCCUUGGUCAAUGAUAUUUUGACCAUUGGAGAAAAAAGUCAGCGUUAUGACCACUGAAAAUAUAAGUUAGUAGCAAAAGUUUAACUUGCAACUAUGCAUUGUUUUAUGAUAGUUGUAUGAAUAAGACAUAUUUUUUAAAGAUUUGCUUUUGGUACCACUCUAAAAGCCCUUUUACCAAAAGCCCUUUUACCAAUGAAAAUAUCUUAUGUGGAUAUAAACCCAUGCGCAUCUCUUAUUUUAUCCAAUAUGGGACUUUGUUUAUAUCUUAACAAUCUUCUCCUCAAAUAAAGGAGUAUGGUUCUCCACCUCUCCUCUCCUACAGUGGAAGUCUUUUUUUUCUUUAUCCACGAGUACACCAUGGUUGCUCUGAGCAUCUCUUGCUCUCUUUCACGAUCCAUGGUCACACACUGAGCAUCUCUUGCUCUCCACCUCCCAUGAUUAAUCUGGCUGUCUGCCAUUGGCUGCUUGCAAAGACUUCACUUUACCAUGGAAGGACGUACUCGUCUGAGCCCGGUCACCAUACCUAAACCAUUGGCUCUAAUACCAAUUGUAGGAAGGGACAACACACAUAAAUCUCCACAAUAAUAAAAUAUUGUCCACUCUGAACCAAGCCCUUAUGGAUUUUCUUUUGGUGGCCAAAAGAUAUACUCAUUUAUGGUAUUGACUAUGGUCAAGAUUAGUAUCAUUCCACUCUUCCUUGCUAUGCUGCUAUUUUCCAUUGCCCACUUACCAACUUUGCAUUUUAAACGUUUUCCUUUAUGGUGGGAGGAACUAGCUCUGUUACUUAGGGAUUGUAUAAUUUAGUUUGUAAAUUGCGUUAAUCUCUUUUUGGACUAAAGCAAUCACUGUGAGUUUCUUUUGGUAAACUUAGUCAUACUAAAUUUUUUGGAUUGAAGUGAAGUGAGACAAAUCAUUCAGUUUUCUAUUAUCAUAUUUUCUUUGUAAAGUGUGUUUAUCUAAUGAUCUAUGUUGAUGACAUAGUUAUUACAAAAAAAUAGUAACACUUGAAUUUCUCAACUCAGAGCAUUUAUUCAAUCAUUUUAGACUUAAGACUUUGGCUAGCUAAAAUUUUUUCUUGGCAUUGGAAUGACUUGAUCAAAGAAAGAUAUUAUAGUUUCACAAAGAAAAUAUGUUCUUGAUAUCAUGGAGGAGACAUGGUUGAUAAAUUUUGAGCCCAUUGAUAGUCCCAUGAACCCAAUUCAGAGGCUAAUGGUUGACCAAGGUAAAAUCUUUUCACAUCCAGAUAGAUAUAGGAGGUUGUUGCCAAAAUUCAUUUAUCUCACUACUAUAAGACUUGAUAUUGGUGUUGUUAGUCAAUUCAUGUAUAAUCCUCACAUUGACCACUGUAGUGUUGUGGCUCGUACUUUUAGGUAUGUGUAAAAGGCUUUAGGAUAAGGAUUGUUAUAUGAGGAGAAUGGAUAUACUCAAAUUUUUUGAUAUUGUGAUGUAGAUUGGGUUGAUUGACCCACUGACAGAGAUCCUCCUCAAGAUAUUGUUUAUUUAUUGAAGGGAAUUUCGUCCCUUGGAAGAAGAAAUAAAUUGUCCAAUCUAGUGCAAAAGCUAAAUAUAGAUCUGAGUUUGGUCACUUGUGAACUUGAGUUGAUGAAGUAACUUCAAGAGUUCAAAUUUUGUGAAGUUAAGCAGAUGAAUUUGUUAUGUGAUAAUUAGAUACCCUUCAUAUUACCUCCAAUUCACUCUUUAAUGAAAGAAUCAAAUACGUAAAGAUCAAUUGUCAUUUUAUCAAGAAGAAACUACUACUGAAGGAAAUUAGUACUGGAAUUAUUAGCUCUAAUGGCUUGCAGACACUGUAAUCAAGCGUUUGAGGGAGUCUAGAAUUUAAUUUACUGGUUUCAAACUUAGUAUAUACAAUUUAUAUGCUUAAGUUGGAUGGGAAGUGUUAAAAUAGUUCGGUAUUAUUUUGUUGUACAACUCUUAGAAAGGUGCUCUUUGGGUGUACCUAGGCUAAGGGAUUAUGAAUCGGGUUGUAGGUAUUACUUGUUCUGCACUCUUCUCAUCUUUUAGGAUAUGUAAAAGUACAUCAGUUGAUAAAUAAACUCACUGAUUUUACUCACACCGUUCCUGUUUUAGUUCAUAUCAUAUUUCUGGACUCUGAUGUUAUUCCAUACCGGUAAACAAAAGUAUGUGUUGGUACAUUUUAGGACUUAAAUGACUGAAGUUAAAAUUUUCAGAACUGAUACUUUCUUACUGAGACCUAGAAGUUGAUGUAUAACUGCAUUCUAUACCUGCAUUCAAAGCAAUUUCAAAUACAAAACAUGGCAAUUGCUAAUUCUAUCUCAUUCACUCCAAGAGUAAAUGAGUUAUCUGACAAAUGCAACUGGUUACAUUACUUGUUUGUUCACAUAAUCAGGGUGACCCCCUGAAAAAUAUUUAGCUAAAAUUCGUUAAAGUGAAAGAAAAGUUUGUGUUAAGGAGAAAAAGUGGGCAACAUGUAUUUGUGCAUGUGUGUGUGACUUAUCUGGUUAUGAAGUUUUGAAGAUACAUUUUCUCACACCCAUUUGUUUUUUGUUUCUUUUACUGUUAGCCUACCUCUGAGAUGAGGUUGUUGGGAUUCUAAAUAAAACUGAUGUCAGCUUGUUGAAGUAAUUACUGAGACCAUGGAGCAUGUCUGAUAAUUUCCCUUGUGAAACAUUGUAAAUUAAUAAAGUCUCCAUCUUUCAUUGAUGAUAACAGCUGCACUAAGCUGGAUAUGGAAGUCAUUAACUCUAUGAAGUCUUGCAGACUUUCAAACAGGUUCAGAAACUUCUGAACAAGACCAACAGGAAAUUUUAUUGGUGAAUUAAUGAGUACCAUACCUAUGGUUGUUCAGGAGACCUCCAAUCUGAAAAGAUGCAGUUAGCUUCUUCAAUAUUUUUUUUAUCAUUGCUUGAAUUGAUCAUAUAAUUGAGUCCUUCUCUUUCAACUUUACUUUUUUUCUACUUAAAAAUAUGAUGCUUUUAAAUAUUAU